Molecule: long non-coding RNA, 1270 nt
Organism: Vidua chalybeata
Lineage: Eukaryota; Metazoa; Chordata; Aves; Passeriformes; Viduidae
Exons: 6
Source: RefSeq, a predicted model, not a curated record
GGGUAACAGACACAGAACUCUCAGGAAUGAACAGGGGGUGGUUACAAGCCUGGCAUGGGAAUGCUCCAAUGAUGAAUGAGGAACAGACACCAACCUCAACUUCUACCUCGAUGAACUGAAAUGUGUGAGGAUCAGUGCAAUGAAUGGAGAUUAACUGCUAGAGACACUGUAAGAGAGGACUGGAGGAAUUGUUUUUGCUUGACCUCAGUUGCCUACUCAGGGUAGAAUCUGGUGCUUUCAUCAAGCCUUGGCCCUUGGGAGUCCAGUUGUGACAGGGAACUAUGUGCAGCCUGGCAGAGCAGAGAGGAAGAGCAGUCUUCUAAAACCUGAGCACCCCUUCUUGUGACACAAAUCCUUGGAAGCAGCAUGCACAUCCUGAAGAAAGCAGCAGUUCCAGUGCCUGGCUCUUCAUAACCCAAGUCUGAAGCCUCAGAGAGAAGCAUGGGGAAUGCUUACUGAGCCUGCCCAGGAAGGCCAGGUGGUCCUUACAGGAAGACAGGUGAGCUGAGGUCACCACAGCUAGACCUGUCACACUGGGUGAACAUUUUGCUGAUGACUCGCAGCAGUGCUACAGGAAUGAGUGAGAAACCAGCAAGCACAACGGAAGAAAACAAAUGAGGGAGAAAAAAAAAUCAUCUUCUUGGAGACGUGUGGGUCUUAGCACAUCUCAAGAUCAGGGCACCUUGUCCUGUGUCAAAGCAGGGAGGAAGGGGCUGUCGCUGCAGGCCUCGGACUUUCUGACUUUUGCAGCCCUGGAUCUUCUUCAGUUCAAUGAUUCUCUCCCAAGAGUUUCCUAGCCCCUCUGAGCCACAAUGGAUCCUCUCCAGCCUCCUCUUGUGGUACUUCCUUGAUCUGCAUCCGCUCGGAGAAAAACAGCCAGGAGGAGAUGCCCAAGAGGCAACUGCUGAGAGUUUACAGGGAACUUCGGCAUGUAGCAGUACUUGGAGAUGUGCACAAACAUGCCUGCAGACUGAAAACGCUUGUCUCAACUUAAUUUGUCGUCGUAUUUCGGGAGAUUUAGUGGGACUGGAGCAUAGGCAUUUCACCGAGCUUGGAAUUAUCCUGACCCAGCAAAAAGCAAGCUCGCACUCCCUUUGUGUGCAAAACUUUCCUGCGGCUGCUGAGAACAAACGCUGGCAGUAGCUGCAGGACCUGGACAAACGCGUGCUCCCGCUGCUCCUGUCCCCGCCUGCCGAGCAAUGGAGGAGCCUGUGGGGCACAUCAAGGCUGCUCAACCGCGGGCGUGCCCCUCGAAGCGCACGAGAAAAAU